RNAcentral lists this ribosomal RNA (229 nucleotides) under uncultured bacterium. RNAcentral describes it as "partial 16S ribosomal RNA". It matches the Rfam family "Bacterial small subunit ribosomal RNA", at positions 568 to 796 of the family's 1533-position model. The record is from RNAcentral.
UCCGUAGGUGGAUAAUUAAGUCAGAGGUGAAAUCCUGCAGCUCAAAUGUAGAAUUGCCUUUGAUACUGGUUAUCUUGAGUCAUUAUGAAGUGGUUAGAAUGUGUAGUGUAGCGGUGAAAUGCAUAGAUAUUACACAGAAUACCGAUUGCGAAGGCAGAUCACUAAUAAUGUACUGACACUGAUGGACGAAAGCGUGGGGAGCGAACAGGAUUAGAUACCCUGGUAGUCC